Ursus americanus (American black bear) is the source of this 106-nucleotide small nuclear RNA. The record is from Ensembl. Lineage: Eukaryota; Metazoa; Chordata; Mammalia; Carnivora; Ursidae.
GUGCUCACUUUGGCAGCACGUAUAUUAAAAUUAGAACAAUACAGAAAAGAUUAGUAUGGCCCCUGCACAAGGACGACACUCAAUUUGUGAAAUGUUUCACAUUUUU